CGGGGCUGGCCAGAGCACGGAAGACGUUUGCCGGGACUACCUGCGCAAUGUCUGCUAUCGCGGCAAGACCUGCAAAUACCUCCACCCGGACAUAAAUGAGUGUAUCCAAUCAAGGAACAUACCAAGCUUCUUGGCAAUUUGAAAAGGCCAUGCAGGAAACAUCUAUGGAUUGUAGCUGGAUUAGCUUUUGCUUGAUGCUGGCAGCAGUUGCUAAUUGAAGCCAUAUUGGGAAAAAUUGCUACUUGGAAGAGCAGUUGAAGAGCUAGCACCAAUGAUAGUUGCGAAAGUAUGUCAGCAUCAUAGGAACUGCAAAUCUUUAGCAAACUUUGUUGAAAUGCAGUUUGUGUCUUAAGACAAUACAUAAUGCCUAGCAAGGUUAAUUUCAAGGUUGUACUCGCUGUACGUGAGGGAGUGUUACCACAGAGUUUUAGUGGUGAUUUUGGUUAAAAUGUAAUUGAAACUAGAAUGGUGAUGACUAUGCUGCCUUUGAACUGAGCUGGACCAGACUCAAGUAUACCAACGUUAGUGUUCCAAAAACUCCUCUAAGUGAGUGAGCUGGAACAACUCCUAAUAUGUGUAAAACAAUAACGUAAAACAUUACAAAGGAACUCAGAUAAUGGACAAUACCAGUCAAGUGAGUACCCUGAAAUAUAAUGACACAAUGCAGCUGCAGUACUUUUUCCCCUGAAGGUAUGGUGCCCUGCAAAUCAAACAGUGCGUUUGGCAUGUAAUGAAAAAAAAAUUGUGGGUUAUCCCUAUGUUGUCCAACGUGGACACUCAUCUUUUCUGAAGACAUAAUUGUACUUUUUAAGCAAUCUGCACAUCUUGAUUUGCUAAGAAAUUUCCCCUCAGCCCCUUGAAACACUAGAGGAUCCUUACUGUACUACUAUUUCUGCUUCUUCCCCUCCCUGCAAACCCCCCCCCCCCCCGACACGCACACGCACACGCACACGCACACACGUGCACGCACACACGCACACGCACACGCACACACACACGCACACACACACGCACGCACACGCACACGCACACGCACACGCACACACACACGCACACACACACACACACACACACACACACACACACACUAUAAGGUACAAGUAACACUGGGUAAUGGUCAAAUUGGAUAUCGGUAACUAAAUACGUAGAUACCAGGUGCUAUGGAAUUCCUUUCUAUCUUGUUCCAAAAAGGCAUGAGAAUUUGCAGUUCUAAGGGUGUAUAGGAAUAAAUGUAAUUAUUGAGUGAAGGAGUCUGUGUAACUGAAAUUUGAUGUUAUUUCUAUUCAGUUGCUCUAAUAUUGUGUACACUGUAGUUGUAAUCCAAUAAUGUUACAUAAAAUGGUAACUAGUGUUCACAGUUCAGCUGCACAAGAUAUAGAAUCAGCACAAGGCGGUGUCUGUAUGUUCCCAGUUCUGUUAUGCUAACUAAUCUCUCAGCCUCGUUUAAGGAAAUACCAGGCUGGGGCAGGAGCAGAACUUGUAUGCAAAAAGGCGCAUAAUGCCAUUUCUCGAGAGGUACCUUUUCAGAACUGAAACAUUCUUUGGGUCCUUUAGAUGCCUUUGGCUGUUUUGAAUGUCACGUGUAUUAAACCUUUUGCUACUCAACAUCAGUACACUGAAAUGUUGUCUUUCUCUGUCCCAAAUAUAUUUAUUAUUACACAACCCUGUGUGAACUUGCUGCAUGAGCUUAGUUGUUUGCCUGAGAGUAUUCGGGCAUAAUAUUAUUAACCCCUUUCCAGCCAAGGAAACCUUGACCUAACCAUUGAAUAUUAAGACUGGCAGUUCCGAAAUGUUAUUUUUUGAUGUUUAUAUGAUAAUGACAAAACUUUCCAGGAAUAUUUUGUUAGCAGAUGGUGGUCAACUUAGUAUGAGCAUCAAGUAUACCCAAGGUGCCCUGGAAUUCCAAUAGGAUUAGUUUCAUGAAGCACUUACCAAAACAACCACAACACAAUUUCUUAAAUACAUUUGGUGAGUUUAAGAGACCAUUAGACUUUUAGUGAGAAAACGGUUGUGAUGUUCAAUUAUUACGACCUUGUGUUUGUGACAUACAUAGUCUCAAUAAUGGUAUUUUACUUUUCUCUUGCAGCUCUUAGUUACAGUAUUGGUAAAGCUUGAAAUUUUAUACCAUGCUAAUUGUGAUACAUUAAUCCAAAAAAGAGUUAAGGUCCAUGGGUUUAGGCACUUGGACAAAUGUGCAUUUUUUUAAAAAAAGACUUCCAUAAUAGUGUUGUAAUAUUGAAUACAUAUAUCUGAGUUAUAAUAAUUAAGCCACAUUUAUGUCUCUUUUUUGAGUUCAGUUUUUCCUAGUUUGAAUUUGUUUUCCUGAAAACAUUCGAUGUUCUUGAAUUUAAUUUAAAUUCUCUGAAAUGGUUAGUAGACUAGUAGAUACUGCAAAUGGCAAAUAGUCUGGAUUUCAGAGGUAAUAAAAUUGUUGAGCUUUGCCUUUAUUUUGUGGCUGGAAAGGUUUAAUGAUACAGUAUAUGUGUUUUUAUAUAAUACAUAUAUAUAUAUAUAUAUAUAAAAUAUAUAUAUAUAAAAUAUAUAUAUAUAUUUUUUUUGCUAUGGUAUUUACUGUCAGUGCUUUCCUAUGCGAUCACAUCAAUGUUCUUUCUCAAGGUUAAUCUUUCCACAGAUAGAAAGACCUUCAGGGCUCCAAAUACCUAGUUUUUAAUCAACAGGGAUUAUUCCAGUGUGUAGAGAUCCUACAUUGAAAUCACAGUCCCCGACAUUGAAGUUUGGCCACAUCAUAAAAACAUAUACCCUUUUAAUUUGUUCAUGCCUGCCAUCUAUUAACCUCUGCAUUGAUACCUAAUUGGGAAGACCCCUCUAUCCAUUUACUGUUAAUUGUACACUUUUUAAAAGUAGAAAUUUAUGAAAGCCUAUUAGUGAGUGUAAAACAAUAAAAUAAUUUUUUCACAUAUUAAGUGCACUGUCUUUUUAUUUUUACAUUGUGCGCACAGAUCACAGGAGGGUAGAAUUGGUGUUCAGCUCACCCAGAGCUACUCUUAUGCAGACUGGCAGAAACCUGAAUACAGAUGAACUACCUGCCCUUUUGCCUAAGAAAUGCUUAGGGACACUCUUGGGUUAGGAAGGACAAGGGACAAGAAAUGUCACUGAAAUUAAUUUGUUGCACGUACCUGAUUGGAAAGGAGAUACUUACAUAAACCAUCUGCCCUGCAUAAUUAAGAACUCAACAUAUGAUUCUGAGAGGUCACUUUUACGAGAAGAUUCUUAUGAUUUACAUAUAUUUUGAGACUAGUCAAAUAUUUAGGAAGUUGGAUGUGUUUGAAAAUAUUGCCUUGAUUGAUGUAUCUUAGAUGUGACUUAUUGUGCUCAUCAGGUGGGAGAUCUCCCAUUCUAGGCACUCGAUAUUAAGCAGCCCCUCGUCAGUUACAGGUACAAAAGAAAGCUUUUUCUCUUUGAGGUUUUCAAACUUUUCAGUGUAGUGAUCUCUUAAAAAUAUGACACUGCCAAGGCUCACCAGCUCCAAAUUUCCCAAAAGAGUGUCAGCUACCCAACGGAAACAGAUAUCAGUGUAGCAAAUUCACUCAUUUGUGUUCAGUGAUACAAAUAAUGUACCAGUAAGUCACAAAUAGCAAAUCUGGUGACCUCAUAGAGCUGGUAUUACCUUGAAGGCAUCUCAGAUAGAGGCUGUUCGAAGGUUGGGGCUAACGAGUAUACAUUUCUCGCACCUAGCCAUCCUUUGCAUCUUAGUGAGAUUGAUAUUUAAUAUUAAACUAGGAGCAGUUUGUAUUUAGUUCCACACCACCUAUCAUCUGAGCCGAGAUGGGCCAAACUUGUUUUUCAUAGAGCUCUUGCAGGCAAAGGAGAGAAAAGACUAUCAUUCUAUCAGUUUGAACUUGAUUUAAAACUGGGUUCUGAUCCCAGUCCUGCCAAGAUCAGAAACCCUCACAUGGGAAUCAUGGGUGAGGACUUGCAUCUGAAGACUCCAUAGUGUAAAAAGUCAGUGUAAUGACAAUUUGAAGAAGCUUUAGUUCUCUCUGCCACUUUCCUCCCUUGCUUCCGUAAUCUUAGACUCUGUUCAGAUGCAAUUCCUAAUGCACCACAUUCUCUAUUUACGAGAUGCCCAUUAUUCAAAUGUGAGCCUAGAUGGUGAGCAUUGACAAGCUAUUUAAUCAUGGGGCGAGUAUCACAGCCCAAUCAUAUCUCCAACCAACAUUCACAUAUGUAGGAUUCCACCAUGGAUCUCAGGAUAGUGAACAAUUGCCCUGGAUGUUACUCUCCUUAAUCAAGACAUGUAGAUGCCAAUUGCAACACCCAACCACUUUGCAGUCAGCGAUCAGUUAGCUCAACAAAAGGCGGGGAACAAAUCUGAUAAAUCAUAAGAAUUAAAUUGCAAGAUGCAGUGGAUUAUCAUACCUACUUGUGUUUCAGACAUAGACCAUUAAGCUGUAUUGUCUUCACUCUGGCAGGAUUCACUGUCAUGUUGGUUGUUGCCAUUUUUUCUCCCAACAAAAACAAUCUGCCUCAGUCUGGCAAAUAGCCCCAUGCUUAGGUGUUUUUAGACCUCAGUAAUCUCUUCUCCUCCUCCUCCUCCUCCUCCUCCUCCUCCUCUCCUCCCCCCCCCCCCCAUAUUUUGGAAUAAAUGUUAUUCCCAUUUAAAUAUUUGAAUCAAAAUAACUGAGCCAGCUCAUGGUUGCCAUUUUGUUAUGUAAACAUGUAACAAAUCAAUUCGUAGUGAUUUCUUUCUUAGCACUGUCAAAUCUACAUAAAAAUUUUGCACCUCAUGGAAAGUCUGUCUAUAAGACUUCAAAUUUCACAUUCACAAAAGCAGCAAUCAUGAACACAUGAAUACUGACAAACAAGUACGUGGAACUCCACUGUCUGAAAAAAAAAGUCACUUUUGGGGGAAAAAAGGGACCAAGCACAUCCCACAAAAAAUGAGAAACUCGAUGGAUGUUAGAUUUUUCCACUUUCCCUAUCUUUUAAUUCUUGCCCUCAACACACACACCAUUUUAGAAACUUUUGGCAUGGAAAUAUUGAUUCUCCAACAUGCUCUAUCUCCUGUGCACUACUUAUGUAUUUCUUCAGAAACCUCACUGACCUUAUCCCUGUCAUGAGUCUUCCCUCUCUCACCAAUCUCAACCUCUAUUUUGCUUAACAGAGCUCUCGUUUUCUUAGGUCUAUAUUUGCAAUAUUUUUGCGGCCAGACAUGUUAACCUGUGCCAUGCAAAUUUUCCAGGCCAGGAGGUUUUAGCAUCACAGUGUCACUUCUGGUAAUCUGCUUUCAGGUGGAGACGACAAAAAGCUAAUAGAGUCUCUCCCCAAAAAAAGCAAGCAACAGGACUGAAAAGAAAAAAAGGGAAAAUGUAGAGAAGAAAAAAAUGAAAAUUUAGAGAACAAAAUUGUACAUUUGGAAAGAAGGGAGAAAAAUGAAGCAAUACUAGGAAAAAGAAGAUUGAGGAAUACUGAGCCAAAAAGAACAGCGAAGUAGAAAAUAAAAGGAUUAAGAAAAGAACAGUAGUAAGCAUAGUAGACUGGCAAGUCAAAUAUAAGUCUGAGCUUAAACUGCCACUUUGAUGUAUUGACUUUGAGUACACAGUGACAGUAUAAUUCUGAAGUCAGCGCCUAAACUAAAGCCAAGCACUCAAUGAUGAAAAUAGAAAUUGUUGCCUUGAUCUUAUGAUAUUGGAUAAAGCAAAUCGAAUUUUAAAAUAGCAUUAGCCAGCUGAGACUCUGGGGUGACUGAAACAUCCUUUGUUCUAUGUCUAAAGCACUUGGAUGGUUGCAUACAAUCUUCAGCUUGCUUAAUGCAAAUACAUUUUUUAUGGUUAUUUCAUAUCUAUGUCUAGUUGGCAAAAUGCAGUCCAUUAUUUAUGUGAGAUCCUUUAUGGUGUAUUUCUGUGAAUCUCAGUGCGGGUGUCUAAAAUGUAAUUUCUGUUAAUGAGUGUUUAAAAACUGGCCAGGCUGGGAGAGGGAAGACCAUUGAAAGGGGAUACAGUUCCAAGCCGUUAACUUGUGUACUUUAAGUCUGCUUGAAUCUUGUUUGUUGAAGACUAUCUUCAGAGCGACUGCUUCUACUCCAAUGGAAAAGACAUUCCUAUAAUUCAGGAACUUUCUUGUGGUCUUCAGUCCUCUAUUUGUUGCAUCUCUCUGUGAAGUCGGCAAUAAAGGCUCAAAGAAUAAUCCUACAUAUUUACUGGCCAUGGCAGUGUGUUUCUAAAGACUUUCUGAGAGGAACUAUAAGAACAAUGGACACUGUCUUUUCAAGGAGUCAACCCCCCAUUUGGCUAUGUUGGCGAAAGGCUUGCCUGCUCAGUUAGCCCAACUGAGAUCAACAACUUAGCUGUAGGAAAUUGAACUGUGGACCCUACCACUCUAUAAGAGUGAUAACAAGGCACCACACUGUUUAAAAUCAUCCUAAGGCCGAUUUUUUUAGCAGAAUGGGAGACAGAUCGCUGGAGUCUGAUCUGACCGGGUCUGAGUGAAGGAUCAAAAUUUUGAUGUUUUUCAGCUGACUGCUUACGCCAAAAAAUGCAAAGCUCCCAGCAAGAUAUUUAUUAGCAGCCAAGGGCCUUGACUCGUGCUGGGGUACAACUCCAUGGCCACUGCCAGCUAUCCGGUGCCUUGACCAAAUGAGAAUGUAUGAGAUACAUUAUCCUGGGAUUCCAUUGCUUGAACACCAGAAGUUGGGGGCGGAUGAAUUCAAUGCCAUUCCCAGAGCUCAGCCUUUGAAACUCGUUGCCUGUCAAACGCUCAGCCUUUAGGUUGCAUUAAGGAAAUAGAAGAGUUGAACACAGGGCUAAAAUGGAGUCUGAGCAACAUGUCAACAUCUUUGCUCUGAGGUUGCAUGAAGGGAACGGAUGAACUGAACAAAAUGAUUAAUCUACAAUUAUACAAGAAGUGGAGGCCUAGGAAUAAGUAGCCAUGGAAAUACUGGGGAGGCUAGAAGUGCAGUGGUAAAAAGGUUUGGUGUGAUUGAGCUCUGACCGUAUUUUCUGAUUGGUUAAACACACUUUACACCUAUUUACUUAGAAAAAUUGAUCAGAAGAACUAUCCUUCUCUCUGCCCUUUAAAUCUGUCUAUUCUUCCCCCCUGUAAUUCUCUCUCUCUUGUUAUUUCUGUCUCUCUUGUUCUCCUCAUUUGCAUUCUGCUCUUCUCUACAUUUUUUACCUUUUAGUGCACACUUAGGACUUGGAUUGGGUGAACAGGGAGCACUUGGGGCAGGUAGAUGGAUGGGUGCGCAAAAGGGCUUGUGAAGCAACUGGUGGAAGUCAGUGGGCCAUGAAGCUCUUGAGUGGGCAGGUGUGCAAACAGACAGAUGGAACUGUGCAUUCAGCUCCCAAUACACUGCUCGCAACGCAAGGUUUUCUCACAGUAUUGUAAGUACGGAGCCAAACAUACCUGAACUGCAGGAAAUGUACCCAGGUUGAGAUAACUUUGAGAUGGGUGGGAAUAGUUUAGAGGGGCUCUGAUUAGCUGGGUUGGGGAAGACAUGGAUUGAGGCAGAUAGGUGUGCCUGUGCCUGAUUAAGAAUAACUCUGGGCAGAUCAGGACCAGCUGCUGGGUGGAGACAAACUUACUAUUCAAAAAAAUGAAAGAUCUCCCAUAGCAUUGCUCAUGGGUGCCCCAGGACCACAGAUAGCAACCUUAGCGGCCUCAGAUCACUUAGAGACUAGGCCUCACAGCAAAAUUUAGUAGACACAUUCUUUAUGGGGUAGGCUUUUACACACUGAGUGACUUCUCAUGCUCUGUGAUUUCAAGCUUUUUAUUCAUUCAUGACAUGUGGAAUUCAUUGGCCAGGCUUGGAUUUGUUGCCCGUUCCUAACUGCCCUUGAGAAGGUGGUGGUGAGCCACCUUGAACCACUGCAGUACAUGUGUAGGUAUGACCGUAGUGCUGUUGGGGAGGGAGUUCCAGUGUUUUGACCUAGCGACAGUGAAG
Carcharodon carcharias (great white shark) is the source of this 7903-nucleotide RNA transcript. It is a transcript of the gene named zinc finger CCCH domain-containing protein 10-like, with no coding region annotated. The transcript is spliced from 6 exons. The record is from RefSeq and is a predicted model, not a curated record. NCBI's taxonomy places the organism in Eukaryota, Metazoa, Chordata, Chondrichthyes, Lamniformes, Lamnidae.